This 244-nucleotide unclassified non-coding RNA is filed under the name Hevea brasiliensis (rubber tree). Lineage: Eukaryota; Viridiplantae; Streptophyta; Magnoliopsida; Malpighiales; Euphorbiaceae. The record is from RNAcentral.
AAGAGAGAGAAACAUCCUCGUCAUGUUCCUCAUGCUGAAGCAACACCAAUAAACAUUUGGGAGCAGAGUUAUAAGCUGGCUUCUGAAGGUGUAAGUGAAACUGGGUGCCCCUGUUCUCAUUAGAAAAGUAGAAUGUUCUGCAAUAAUAAUCACUGAAACUUGCAACUUUUAGUCCAAUAAUCUCUCAUUUCUUUUCAGCUGUUCCACAUGAAAAAUGACCCUUUAGAAUGUCAUGUAGAGUCAU